RNAcentral lists this ribosomal RNA (442 nucleotides) under uncultured bacterium. RNAcentral describes it as "partial 16S ribosomal RNA". It matches the Rfam family "Bacterial small subunit ribosomal RNA", at positions 338 to 795 of the family's 1533-position model. The record is from RNAcentral.
CCUACGGGUGGCAGCAGUGGGGAAUAUUGGGCAAUGGGCGCAAGCCUGACCCAGCAACGCCGCGUGAAGGAAGAAGGCUUUCGGUUUGUAAACUUCUUUUCUCAGGGACGAAGCAAGUGACGGUACCUGAGGAAUAAGCCACGGCUAACUACGUGCCAGCAGCCGCGGUAAUACGUAGGGAGCGAGCGUUGUCCGGAAUUACUGGGUGAAAAGGGAGCGUAGGCGGGGAUGCAAGUUGGGUGUCAAAACUACCGGCUCAACUGGUAGUCGCACUCAAAACUGCAGCUCUUGAGUGAAGUAGAGGCAGGCGGAAUUCCUAGUGUAGCGGUGAAAUGCGUAGAUAUUAGGAGGAACACCAGUGGCGAAGGCGGCCUGCUGGGCUUUUACUGACGCUGAGGCUCGAAAGUGUGGGGAGCAAACAGGAUUAGAUACCCGAGUAGUC